This 72-nucleotide transfer RNA is filed under the name Camelus dromedarius (Arabian camel). It matches the Rfam family "tRNA". Rfam says of the family: Transfer RNA (tRNA) molecules are approximately 80 nucleotides in length. Their secondary structure includes four short double-helical elements and three loops (D, anti-codon, and T loops). The record is from Rfam by way of RNAcentral. RNAcentral also lists the same sequence under 1 other name. Lineage: Eukaryota; Metazoa; Chordata; Mammalia; Artiodactyla; Camelidae.
AAGGGUAUAGCUCAGUGGUAGAGCGUGUUCUUAGCAUGCGCAAGGUCCUGGGUUCAAUUCCCAGUACCUCCA